This 381-nucleotide ribosomal RNA is filed under the name uncultured bacterium. RNAcentral's name for it is "bacterial SSU rRNA". It matches the Rfam family "Bacterial small subunit ribosomal RNA", at positions 335 to 704 of the family's 1533-position model. The record is from RNAcentral.
ACUCCUCGGGAGGGCAGCAGUAGGAAUUUUCCGCAAUGGACGAAAGUCUGACGGAGCAAUGCCGCGUGAGUGAUGAAGGUUUUCGAAUUGUAAAGCUCUGUUGUAAGGGAAGAAUAGCAAGAAUAGGAAAUGAUUCUUGUUCUGACGGUACCUUACCAGAAAGCCACGGCUAACUACGUGCCAGCAGCCGCGGUAAUACGUAGGUGGCAAGCGUUAUCCGGAAUUAUUGGGGCGUAAAGCGCAUGUAGGCGGCUUUUUAAGUCUGAUGUGAAAGCCCAGGUGGCUCAACCACUGAAUUGCAUUGGAUACUGGAAAGCUAGAAUCUUGUAGAGGGGGUGAGAAUUUCAUGGUGUAGCGGUGAAAUGCGUAGAGAUCUGAAGG